UACGUAGGGGGCAAGCGUUGUCCGGAUUUAUUGGGCGUAAAGAGCGUGUAGGCGGCCUGAAAGGUCAGCUGUGAAAACUCGAGGCUCAACCUCGAGACGUCGGUUGAAACCGUAUGGCUAGAGUCCGGAAGAGGAGAGUGGAAUUCCCGGUGUAGCGGUGAAAUGCGCAGAUAUCAGGAAGAACACCCGUGGCGAAGGCGGCUUUCUGGGACGGUACUGACGCUGAGACGCGAAAGCGUGGGGAGCGAACAGG
Molecule: ribosomal RNA, 253 nt
Filed under: uncultured bacterium
Lineage: Bacteria
Description: partial 16S ribosomal RNA
Rfam family: Bacterial small subunit ribosomal RNA
Source: RNAcentral